Molecule: transfer RNA, 78 nt
Filed under: Cobitis hankugensis
Lineage: Eukaryota; Metazoa; Chordata; Actinopteri; Cypriniformes; Cobitidae
Description: tRNA-Lys
Rfam family: tRNA
About the family: Transfer RNA (tRNA) molecules are approximately 80 nucleotides in length. Their secondary structure includes four short double-helical elements and three loops (D, anti-codon, and T loops).
Source: RNAcentral
UCACCAGGAAGCUAAAUUUGGGCUACAGCGUUGGCCUUUUAAGCCAAAGAUUGGUGCUUCCCAACCACCCCUGAUGAA